Molecule: long non-coding RNA, 528 nt
Filed under: Setaria viridis
Lineage: Eukaryota; Viridiplantae; Streptophyta; Magnoliopsida; Poales; Poaceae
Description: long non-coding RNA (SVIR_LNC005313)
Source: RNAcentral
UGUGGCUGGCAGGUUGGGGGUGUUUCCUACGGACAUUGUUCCAUAUGGCCAUAGGCAGCAUAUCUGUUUGGGAGAUAACUAGUGCAGCUUAGUGAAUUUUUUGGGGGUCAUUAGUGGUGCAUUUGGUGAUGAGUGCUGUUUCUGUGUUUCAUCUAAGAGACUACGACACUAAGGUAAAAUUAGCAGGGAUGACAGGUUAUUAUUGUCUGCCUAAAUGGCUGUUGACUGAACUAUUAAAAUACAGUUCAACAAGCUAAAAAUGCUGCAGUUUACAGCUUCAAUAUUUUGGCCCUACGAUUAAUCGCAGUUUUGUUUCAUGUAAAGUGGUUUUCAUGUCACCUGAUAAUUAUAUUUUGUAUAAGAUGGUUGUGGGUUUACUACAAUUAAAAACACCAUUUAGUUACAUUAUAUCUCUUUGAGCAGCAUUUUUUUGCUUUACACUCCUCGAAACUGUUAUAGUAUAUUUGGUAGUUGUAGACAUACAUAUCGUAGACUGCCAUAUGUAUCCGGGGGAGCCUUGCCUCCCAA